GAGGAAUACCGGUGGCGAAGGCGGCCCCCUGGACAAAGACUGACGCUCAGGUGCGAAAGCGUGGGGAGCAACCAGGAUUAGAUACCCUGGUAGUCCACGCCGUAAACGAUGUCGACUUGGAGGUUGUGCCCUUGAGGCGUGGCUUCCGGAGCUAACGCGUUAAGUCGACCGCCUGGGGAGUACGGCCGCAAGGUUAAAACUCAAAUGAAUUGACGGGGGCCCGCACAAGCGGUGGAGCAUGUGGUUUAAUUCGAUGCAACGCGAAGAACCUUACCUACUCUUGACAUCCAGAGAACUUUCCAGAGAUGGAUUGGUGCCUUCGGGAACUCUGAGACAGGUGCUGCAUGGCUGUCGUCAGCUCGUGUUGUGAAAUGUUGGGUUAAGUCCCGCAACGAGCGCAACCCUUAUCCUUUGUUGCCAGCGGUUAGGCCGGGAACUCAAAGGAGACUGCCAGUGAUAAACUGGAGGAAGGUGGGGAUGACGUCAAGUCAUCAUGGCCCUUACGAGUAGGGCUACACACGUGCUACAAUGGCGCAUACAAAGAGAAGCGACCUCGCGAGAGCAAGCGGACCUCAUAAAGUGCGUCGUAGUCCGGAUUGGAGUCUGCAACUCGACUCCAUGAAGUCGGAAUCGCUAGUAAUCGUAGAUCAGAAUGCUACGGUGAAUACGUUCCCGGGCCUUGUACACACCGCCCGUCACACCAUGGGAGUGGGUUGCAAAAGAAGUAGGUAGCU
This 734-nucleotide ribosomal RNA is filed under the name Enterobacter sichuanensis. Its description in RNAcentral is "bacterial SSU rRNA". It matches the Rfam family "Bacterial small subunit ribosomal RNA", at positions 701 to 1435 of the family's 1533-position model. Lineage: Bacteria; Pseudomonadati; Pseudomonadota; Gammaproteobacteria; Enterobacterales; Enterobacteriaceae. The record is from RNAcentral.